GACGAACCGUCCUAACGUUGUUCGGAUUCACUGGGCGUAAAGGGCGCGUAGGCGGCUGUUCAAGUCGGGGGUGAAAUCCCGUGGCUCAACCACGGAAUGGCCUUCGAUACUGGACGGCUCGAGACCGGAAGAGGUGAGUGGAACUGCGAGUGUAGAGGUGAAAUUCGUAGAUAUUCGCAAGAACACCAGUGGCGAAGGCGGCUCACUGGUCCGGUUCUGACGCUGAGGCGCGAAAGCGUGGGGAGCAAACAGG
This 253-nucleotide ribosomal RNA is filed under the name uncultured bacterium. RNAcentral's name for it is "partial 16S ribosomal RNA". It matches the Rfam family "Bacterial small subunit ribosomal RNA", at positions 524 to 776 of the family's 1533-position model. The record is from RNAcentral.